UGUAGUUGAACGCCCCGUCCUUCUGCAUCUAGUUAUUUGAGGUGGUUCAGGAACGACCGCUGCUAAAAAAUUUCACCGUAUCUCAGUGUCUGCACUACUGUGUCUACUGAGCUUGCUGAUAGGCUGAAGUAGGGAAGGGAAGAAAAAGCAAAGUCAGAAACCGUUGGAUUUAUAUUUGACAGUUGCACCCACCGCCCACCAUGGCAGACGGAGCAGAGCAGCAGCCCAUCUUCCAGCCAGGAAUCCAACGCAGCCGAUCGUACGAGAAGGUCAGCUGGCGGGCGGGCGUCCUGCGCCGAUGCGUUGUCCCGACGAUCAUCACCUUCACGGGAAUCUUCCUCGCCAUCGCCAUUGGCAACAUCUGCUACUACUUCGCGAUCAAGCCGGCGCGGGCGUACUAGACGCGCGCUGAGCGGGCGGGUGCGACCGGAUUCACUCGGAUUGGAUGCAGCAGGGGGGCGGGGGAGGAGGGCGUGAGCCCGGGAGGGGGAAGCGAGCGCGGAUGCAGAAGAGACGGGGGAGCGAAUCAACAAAGAAGUUUACGCGAGGGUCGUUGUUGAAUUUUAUAUUAAUCGUAGAAGCGAUAGUAGCCGAUAGGGCGAUGUCUUAGCAGGGUUACUGCGUGCCUCCGCGAUUCUGUUGAUGCCAUUGAUUGUCGAUUUUACUUUGUGAUACGCCACGCGGCAUUAGCGGCUGGGCGUCCCCGCACGUUGGCGGGCGGACCUUUUAGAUAUGGUCCCAAGGUGCGACGCGCAGCGAAGACGGUACAGCCAUGUCAGUGAUCAUGUCAGUGUGUCAAAGAGAGAGAGAGAGAGAGAGCGAGAGAGAGGGCAAGAGAAGUGAGAGAGAGGGCGAGAGAAGUGAGAGACAGAGAGAGAGAGAAAGAGGGAGAGAAAUCGACCGUACAGUUGCAUCUGAAAGGCAACACAAACUGACAAAUAAAAAGAUAACACCGACAGGCUCACCGGUCUACGCUGCUGCCGCAUCUUCGUCUCACGCACUGCUGCACUCGGAAGCCCUUCUUAUUACAUUCCAGUUGCGACAUUCCAUUCCACUAUGUAGCUUACAGGUACAUGCACAGAUAUGAGCAGGUAUGGAAAGGUAUAUGCACAGGUUUAUACAGGUAUAUGCAGGUACAUGCACAGGUAUAUACAGGUACAUGCACAGGUAUAUACAGAUACGUGCACAGGUAUAUACAGGUACAUGCACAGGUAUAUACAGGUACAUGUACAGACGUGCACAGGUAUAUACAGAUACGUGCACAGGUAUAUACAGGUACAUGCACAGGUAUAUACAGGUAUAUAUACAGAUACGUGCACAGGUACAUACAGAUACAUGCACAGGUGUAUGCAGGUACAUGCACAGGUACGCGCAGACAACCACGCGCUGCGAUCAUCGUCGCUACCCCCCAAAGGCAGCUAGACGGUGCGAAUUGGUUGCGAUGGUCCCAGCGUGCGAGGGUUGCGUACGACCAUGGGUGGGGUCUAGCAGGGUGGGGUCUAGCAGCUGAGAUGGGAGACCGUUCUGUCAUUAGCCACACUCACUGGCUUUGUACCUGAUACGUGUGUGUGUGAGUGUGUGUGUGUAUGUAUGUUCCAAAUUGCACCUCUGGUUUGUGGAUGGUACCUACCUUGUUUGUGGAUGGUACCUACCUUGUUUGUGGAUGGUACCAACCUUGUUUGUACCUGGCACAUAUACCUGGUACACACCUGGUAACACACACACCUGGUAACAUGUACACCUGAUACCCACCUGGCGCACAUUUUUACACCUGGUAACACCUGUGCACCUGGUACACAUACCUGUGAAGCGGUGUGUGAGGAAUGAAGCACUAGUUGCGAGGGGAGAAGAAUCUCAGCUUUUCAGGAGUUAGUCUAUUUUUUGCACACGUUUAUGAUUUAUGCGCACGAUCGGGUUGUGGUUUUCACCCGCGCUCACAUUCUCAGAGAGUGGGCGGGCGUCUGUCUUAAACUAUAUGUUUACACUUUAGAGAGGAUGAGAAAGAGAGAGAGAGAGAGAGAGAGAGAGAAAGAGAGAUAGCUAUAGUAUUUACAGUGCUUAUUUUGCACGGUGAUGGGGUUUACUAAUCGAGUAUCGCCGGAUGCCUCGUACGUUGUGACGACGGCGGCGUCACUGUUCCUUAUACAUUCCCUAACGCGCGUUUACCGUUUACGACUUACCGAAUACUCGUUUUGUUUAUCGUUUUAAGAGAUCAUCGCUUAUUGGCGACUUUUUCAGUUUUUUCGGCAUGAAGAAGAAUCGAGGUAGUCGAAUGAAUUACAGGUAGAUGAUUAGGAGUCUUAAUUAAUUACAGGCCGCAAUUAGGGGCACUAAUUACUCAUGUUCACUGUCGAUAGAGCUCCUUGGCGUGUAUACACCCGUUGUGGAUCUGGGUUUAGUGCGGUUGUGAGCGCACUUUCUGUUAUGUUUAGUGCCAGGGGUGCCGGUUUAGUACACUUGCAAGGUGUACGCACCGUUUGGUAGCGUAGGGACCAUGGAAUAGUAUGCGUUGAGAUGCAGGCGCAGGUGUGAUAUGACUGUGUGUAUGUUAUAACGUAAGGCAUGGCUCCAAGUGAAGUUGGUCUGUUACGUCGUUCUACAUUGUUUAUGCACAGAUUUUGCGGUAAUCGUGGCGAGUAAGCAAAUUUGGAGUCGAUAAAAGCCUGUGGUUCUACGAUUCCAUACGUGUCACGUCAUUCCUUGUUGUUCUACACGUAGUUACUUGUAAUAUGCUAACCAUGGCAGACAAGCAAAUUUGGAGGCGAAAAGCAUAUAUAUAGUAGCUGCACAAUAAAAUAACUAUAACGAUUAAAA
This 2814-nucleotide long non-coding RNA is filed under the name Priapulus caudatus. Its description in RNAcentral is "uncharacterized LOC106813580". Lineage: Eukaryota; Metazoa; Priapulida; Priapulimorpha; Priapulimorphida; Priapulidae. The record is from RNAcentral.